GGGCGAGUAGCUCAAUGGUUAGAGCCGACCGCUCAUAACGGUCUGGUUGGGGGUUCGAGUCCCUCCUCGCCUACCA
This 76-nucleotide transfer RNA is filed under the name Asticcacaulis biprosthecium C19. RNAcentral describes it as "Asticcacaulis biprosthecum C19 tRNA-Met". It matches the Rfam family "tRNA". From Rfam's summary of the family: Transfer RNA (tRNA) molecules are approximately 80 nucleotides in length. Their secondary structure includes four short double-helical elements and three loops (D, anti-codon, and T loops). Further hydrogen bonds mediate the characteristic L-shaped molecular structure. tRNAs have two regions of fundamental functional importance: the anti-codon, which is responsible for specific mRNA codon recognition, and the 3' end, to which the tRNAs corresponding amino acid is attached (by aminoacyl-tRNA synthetases). tRNAs cope with the degeneracy of the genetic code in two manners: having more than one tRNA (with a specific anti-codon) for a particular amino acid; and 'wobble' base-pairing, i.e. permitting non-standard base-pairing at the 3rd anti-codon position. The record is from RNAcentral. Lineage: Bacteria; Pseudomonadati; Pseudomonadota; Alphaproteobacteria; Caulobacterales; Caulobacteraceae. RNAcentral also lists the same sequence under 17 other names.